UACGGGGGGAGCAAGCGUUGUUCGGAUUUACUGGGCGUAAAGGGCGCGUAGGCGGCCACCGCAAGUCAGUUGUGAAAUCUCCGAGCUUAACUCGGAAAGGUCAACUGAUACUGCGGGGCUAGAGUGCGGAGGGGGCAACUGGAAUUCUUGGUGUAGCGGUGAAAUGCGUAGAUAUCAAGAGGAACACCUGCGGCGAAGGCGGGUUGCUGGGCCGACACUGACGCUGAGGCGCGAAAGCUAGGGGAGCGAACGGG
Molecule: ribosomal RNA, 254 nt
Filed under: uncultured bacterium
Lineage: Bacteria
Description: partial 16S ribosomal RNA
Rfam family: Bacterial small subunit ribosomal RNA
Source: RNAcentral